GGUGGGGGGCGGCGCAGUGACUUGCUUCGACUUUGUCAGCUUCCAGGGUUCAUUCCACUGCCCAAAUAUGUAGUGAGUUACUACCGGCUUUGCUUCCUCCUUCAGCAAACGGCUGGACCACACAACUUCAGGAGAGAGGAUUUUAAAUGUUAGGGUCAUUUUCCCUAAAACGAUUUCAAAUGACGUCUCUUUAUCUAUAGGUAACCCAGCUUAAAACAACUGCGGUUGGCCCGGGAUCCUCACUGCCCUUUGCCAAGUACCAGAGAAAGAUAAGGCCUACUAGGAACCAGAGAAAACCAGAACCAGCCACCCCUUGUUACUUUUAGAUCAUUAAUACAUCAUUAUAUGCUCAACUCCCGACCCGUAGAAGAGAAUCGCCGCCAUUUUCUGAUAGUGCAUUGUAUGAAGAGGCAUGUUUAUGAAAUGCACCUGUGCGUCUAGAGUUCCUCCCGGCAUAUGCUUGCAUACCUCCCCACUCCACAUCUAACGCCUUACAAUUCCCCAGCUUCCCAAAGCUCUGGAAGAAGGGGGUCUUUAGAGUGAAAGUUUACUCCUUCUCUAUUCCUGGCCAGGAAUGAAACCCGCUUGCCGUUUUUUCCAGUUGGUGUGCUUUCUUUGCAACUGAUACAGACUAGGAAAAGAACGCAAUUUACCAGUAACAGUAGAGCUGGGAUUUAAAUCUAAGUGCUUUGACUUCAAAGACAAGGUUCCAAGCUGCUACACAUACCAAUUCUCGUUAAAGUGUAUUCCAUUUCUUUUGUGCUUUCAUAUUGACCAUUGUGUGUUAAUCCUUUCAAUUGGAAGAAGAGGGAGACAGUGCCAGUUAUUGCAAACUUUCACAGUCCACAGGCCCGAUAUGUAGCCUUCACCACCCACAGGUUCUGCCACUUCUGGGGCAUUAUAUUCCAUCAAGAUCCAGGCACCCGCCAUCCACAUACCAGCCCUGGAACUCGUCCCUUCUCCCAGACUUGGAAACGCCACCUCUCCCUGACCAAUGUCGAGCCACUUCCUCAUCUUGAUACAUCAGCCACUAUCCUUUCCAUCUUUCAGGCAACUCCAGCUUAAUUUCUCGAUGGCCUUGCCCUUCUAAAAGGCCGUUCUCUUUUCCCAGAUGACUUUUUCCUAUCCCCUCCACAGUAACUCCCCUCAUCCUUCCAGUCUCAAUUCAAUUGUUCCUUGGUGGGGUGGGGCGGGGGGAGCCUUCUUAAACCCUCCUCCCUCACAACUGCAUGAGGUCCCUUGUCUCUAAUAUAAGCUCCUGUAGCACCAUGGCACUUAUCCCAGUUGAGAUUUUAAAUAUAUUUCUGUGUAUUUGAUUAAAGUUUCUCUCCUCCA
RNAcentral lists this long non-coding RNA (1335 nucleotides) under Homo sapiens (human). Its description in RNAcentral is "HSALNT0332633". The record is from RNAcentral. Lineage: Eukaryota; Metazoa; Chordata; Mammalia; Primates; Hominidae.